Molecule: transfer RNA, 72 nt
Filed under: Ictidomys tridecemlineatus (thirteen-lined ground squirrel)
Lineage: Eukaryota; Metazoa; Chordata; Mammalia; Rodentia; Sciuridae
Description: Spermophilus tridecemlineatus (thirteen-lined ground squirrel) tRNA
Rfam family: tRNA
About the family: Transfer RNA (tRNA) molecules are approximately 80 nucleotides in length. Their secondary structure includes four short double-helical elements and three loops (D, anti-codon, and T loops). Further hydrogen bonds mediate the characteristic L-shaped molecular structure. tRNAs have two regions of fundamental functional importance: the anti-codon, which is responsible for specific mRNA codon recognition, and the 3' end, to which the tRNAs corresponding amino acid is attached (by aminoacyl-tRNA synthetases). tRNAs cope with the degeneracy of the genetic code in two manners: having more than one tRNA (with a specific anti-codon) for a particular amino acid; and 'wobble' base-pairing, i.e. permitting non-standard base-pairing at the 3rd anti-codon position.
Source: Rfam by way of RNAcentral
UGGGUUGUGGCUCAGAGGUAGAGCACUCACCCAGCACGUGCAAGGCCCUGGGUUCGAUUCUCAGCACCACAU